Molecule: long non-coding RNA, 26087 nt
Filed under: Marmota monax (woodchuck)
Lineage: Eukaryota; Metazoa; Chordata; Mammalia; Rodentia; Sciuridae
Source: RNAcentral
CCUCUCGCCACUGCCUCGCGUCUUCUCUCCCUCACGGCAGCCUCGGUCUCUUUCUCCCUCUCUCCUUUGAAAACUGAUCUUUGGCUCUUAGUGUGAAAGUGAUUUGAAUUUGGCUCGGCGGCGCUCUGCGCCUGCGCUCAGCCUCUGGCAUGCUGGCUCCUUCCAAGCAGCUGUUUUGGGUUUGAAAUUCCAACAUGGCAGAGGCUGCAGUCCGUCUUCCCUUCAAAAACUUGGAAUGAUUUCAAAUCAUAGGCACCUUCACUUAACCCUAGCUUCCAUUCAUCAGCAAACACAUCGGAUCGAUGCUACGCUAACCUAUCGGGUUCUCGCUCUGCGCGUUCAGGUAAGAGGAGCUUCGUAGUUUUCUACCAUCUGUUUAAAUUUGUUUUUGUUUUUGUUUUAUUUUUAAAGAAUAUAAAUAGAUCCAAGAACUGUAAUAAAAAGAGAUCUCCGAGUUGUGCCGUAAACAUUAAAUUUAAUUUGCAUUCGUUUCUAUUCGGUACGCCAACCUGCUGUCUAAUUUCUCUGUACAAAGUAGCCCUGAAACAUUAUAAUGCAUAUUUUAGCUGCUUAAUCAUUGUAACAAUAGUAUGGGAUUAAGAAUUCGCGAUUGAAAGAAUCUCGUUUUUCGCUAUAUUGGGCUUACUUAUUACUAUCUUUUUUUUACUUCAAAAAUAAAAUAAAAAGAAAGCGGAGCCAUAGGGUGGGGCUAGACUUUCUUCGGGAACUAACUUCUAAGUAAAUAAGAAGUGUAAAUAAGAAUCUUGCACACACACGAAAAGUUGAGGUUAAAUUACAAUCUCGUGGCUGGGGGAACCAGAAAAAUGUCACAAGCUCGGUUGCAAAAAAAAAAUGUAAGCACAUCAUUUGGAGGGGGUACAGCGUGGUGGGCGUAUUGUUGGCAAGGAAUGGGAGAGAAAGAUGUAUAAUUUAAUGGUAUAUACAAUCCACUGAUCCUAUUACCGUCCUCCCCGGAGCUCUUGUUAGUUUCAAUGGGAGUGAGUGAAAUUGACAUGGACUUGCAUUCCUGGUCAUGUGCUUUUUUUCCUUUCUUUCUUCUCCUGUGAUCUGAGAUCCCCUUUUUGUUGAUGUUGCUUUCCCCCUUAAUUAUAUGCAUGUAGGUUAAAUGAAUACCUGACGAAAGGGCCCACGUUUCAAGGCAGUGACAUUUGAUAGCUGAGAGGAAAAGUGGCUUUAAUGAAAAGCAACCUUUGGAAUUCCUGCUUGUGAGAAAUCCAAUUCAGCUUUUUGUGCUGCCAGCAAGAAAUGAUCAGUAGCACCAGUGUUUAUGGUAUGUCAGUUUUGGAAUUUACUUCCUUUGCAUCUAAAUAGGAAAGACAAAUUAAAUAGCAUGAUAAAACCAUUGAAGACUGCUUGAGAAGCAGAUGUUCAUGAUACCUAAUUCUUUUUUAUUUAAAAAAAUGUAUAUGUUUAUUUUUAAAAAUGUAUAUGUUUAUUUUAAUCUGUCACCAUGCUUUUUGCGUUUGUUAUCACUUGUUUAUGUAUUUUAGUUUUGAUUAACAUAUUACUUGAGUCCACUUUUAUUGGGUUUAGCUGUAAUCCUGAAGUUGCAUGUUACUAGUAAUGCACUGCAUAACGGCUGAAGUCAAAUAGUAUGUAAAUUAGUUAAACUCAGUGUGGUUUUUUUUUUUUUUUUUUUCUUCCUUUGAGGAGGUGGGUGGCAGAGGGGAGAGGGCGGGAGUGUGGAGAAAGAUUGCUAACUAAUGAAAGUAUAUAUAUGUACACACACAGAACUGGGUGAAAUUCUCUUUUUCUUUCUCAACCUGUCAUUGCAAUUUGGCUAUCUGCUCUCUUGAUGAUUGCACUUUGUGGAGUGAUCGGUUCCUCUGUGUAGUUUUUUGGGGUGAGUGAAUGAAGGUAUAUCUUUUACAUAAAAACAGACUAUAUAUUUUCACUGCUCAAAGUCCUUAUUCCAAGGAACAGUGGUAAUUUUUUUCCUUGCCAUUUACUUGUCUGCCUGUCAGCGCUUUUUACUUUUAACCUGUGACAGAAUUAAAUAAUCAGGCACUGAAAUUGACUUCAUUUGAAAUUGCUCUUUCCUCUUUCAAAAAAAAAAAGUCAGUUAAAUGGAGUGAGAGGGGUUUUCAAUGGCUCUUGUGGCCGAGCUGUGUGUACACUGUGUGAUAUUCAAUUAAGACUAAGAGGGAACAACAACAACAAAAAGAUGUUAAAGUGUUUUGCAUAAUCAAAGGAUAUGUCCACUUUAAACUGUUUUUCUUUUUUGUUGUUGUUGCUGUCUUUUACAUUUAUCCCAACACCAUGAAUUUCUCCCGCAAAGAGAGAAAAAAGGAGAGAAUGUGAAAGAAAGAAAUAACAGGGGGGCAAAGCUGCCAGGCAUCUGUAGUGUGGCCGUGGUCACUGCUCUCUCAUAACACAAAUGUGAAUACGAGGAAAGGGACUUCAAGACCCGUUGCGCGACAUGCACUUCUAGUUGGACCCUGGUGACUAUAGAGCUAAACACACACCGCUCUACACGAUAGAAAGGAUUUGAUUGAAUUUUGCAUUUGGAACUUGUUGACUUUGAAGCGAUCAAUAAGAAGACUGUUUAUUUUAGAUGCACAUAAUUUGCCCUAAGAAAUGUUUUAAGGAGGAGAGAGCACAGGUUUUUUUCCCCCGGAGCUGUUGGAGCGAAUGGGAUUGCCAGAUGGGCGAUUUCCCUCUGUGAUGUUAAAGCUGUAAUAUAUAUUCAGAGCAGAUUGGGCUGCUGCCUGUGAUGAGGAGGAUAUUACAUUUAUAAAUUUUAAAUCGGAGCUCGGACAAUGUGCUGAGAGCAGAAAUUGGAUGGUUUGACUGUUCACUGUAUUGAUACUUAAAUGUGAUUUCUGGGUAGUAGUAAUAAUAAUCAUUGUAAUAAUAUAUAAAAAACAUGCUGGCAUAGCAAUCAUAUAAUUCAUGACAUUUAACUGCAGAUGUAAAUGUGCAAAUUGCUCCCCCCAAGUCUUCUACUUACUAUUAAAUAAUAGUCACAUAAUUUAUUUCUCUGUGUGUUUAAAUGUCUGAUGUGCAAAUGAUGUUCAUAAGGAGGAGUCUUGUUAUCACACACUAGAAUUUUUUUUUGGGGGGGGUAAGUAUAUGUAUAGAGAGAGAGAGAGAGAGAGAGAGAGAGAGAGAGAGAGAGAGAGAGAGAGAGAUACACAGGAGACACUUGUGUAUAUGUAGAAAGUGGUGUUUGUGACUCCUAUUUUCUAAUUCUAUUACUUGGAUUAUUUUUAGAUUUUGUUUGUCUCCAAUGUGUGGCCUAAAGGAAACAGCUACAAACCUAAAAGGCUAGAAAGUGGGCAAGCACUCACAUUCUGGCAGCUCUGCUGUUGCAAAUUAAAAGUGUGUUGUGGUCAGGAAAUGAAAGCUACAAUGUCUCUUUUGAACAAGUCGUUUAUCAAGAGAAACAUCUAUCAGGGACUGCCUUGUCACAUUGAUCCUCUAAAAGUUAGGUCCGAGGUGGAAGCUGCUUUGAUGUUUUUGAUCCUAAAUUUAAUACAACAGAAAAAAAAAAAGCAAAGAUAUUUUGACCAGUAUAGAUUUCUUUUCAAAAAAUGUUUCCUGGAACCAACAAGAUCUAUUUAUUAGUAUUGUACUGUGUGUGAAGUUUUCAAGCCAUCACAGUUGAAAGGCUGAAGGGGAAAUCCCAGGCUUCAUAAACUUGAUGAUAGUUAGAAUAUACAUUUGUAAUACAUUCAGCUUUUUUGUUUAAUAUAGACAUUUUGGAAAUAGAUUGUUUGAAAGGAAAAUCAUUUUGAAAAAAUGUUUGGAAGACUAUGAAGAGUGUCAGAGGUUUUUCAUUCAUUUAAAUUUUAGAGUUCUCUCUUCACUCCCUCUUCUAUUUCUUUAUUCCUGUUUACUAACUUCAUUUUGUUUGUGACAAAUUUGCUUUUAUUUGGAAAAGAAACAUUUUUCCCAUGGAAACUGUGUUCCCAAAUAAGAUUGUAUACAGCACUUCUAUUGUUUAUUAAUUGUGCAUGUGGAUACUUAUCAGUAUAAGCUGCAUGGAUUACAAAUUCUUUGGAAUUUCAGCCUGAAAAUAGAGGUAUCAGAUUAAACAUGUCAUAUAUUCUUAAAUACUGAAUAUGUUGCAUCUAUUAUUUAGAAUUCAAAAGGUAUCGUUAAGGAAAUGACCAAGUUUAAAAAAAAAUGUGAAAGCAGUUAAGAGCAUCCUGCUUAUUUUUGGAGGCAAAGAUAUGAAAGAAGUAUUCCUUCUUUGAAAUAGUUUUUGGAUACUUGUCUUAUACUGCUGGUGGCUACUUGUUUUUUCAUGUAGGAGUGUUAAAUAAGGAGAGGAGAGUGUGGUGGGAGUUUUGAGAAGUGUAAUACUUGCUAAUUAAUCAUGUCUGAAAUGAAAGAAUCAUAGCAGGGUAAUAAAAUCUCAUUGUUGUUUUCCUGGAAGAGGGUAAGACUUCUGUUUGGAAGCUGUGCAUGUGAGUUGACUUGCUUUGCUUUUCUCCUGAAAAGAUAGUUUAUAGGGUCUCCUUGCAAUUAUUUUAAGAAAUCUCUUUUUUUUUUUUGAAAAUUUUUUUUUCUCCUGACUGUAUCAAAUCUGUAAGAUUCUUAAAACUAUAUGUGAUAUCUUCUAAGUGUAAACAGGAUUUUUUUCUUUAAUUAUAUUUAAGAUUCCUGCAUCUGAGUUUCCAGUGCUAUUUUUUUUUCUAUAGAUAGAAAAUCUUUUUGGUUGUUUUCAUUCAUGUUAAGAACUUUGGAAAUCAUUUUGUAGGCAGGUACUUCUGAUACAAGACAGCAGAAAUUUCAUUAGUUACUUUUAGAUAAUACCAGAGUAUGACCAAAGGGGAGAAAAGAAUUAGUAUUUUCAAGAAUCCAUAGAGACAAGCUGUAUUAUUACUUGCCAUUUCUAAAAUAGUUUAAAACAUAAGCAAGCUGAAAAGAUAAAUGAAUAAUUUAUUAGAGGUGAAUUUUCUUUUUUUCCCUAAGCUUCAGUUUGCCACUUUUUAGAAUUUAAUUCCUUGCUUAAGUUUUGCAUAGAGCCAGAUCCAAAAAGUUUGAGUCUCUACAAUAUUUUUCAGAAUUCUCAUCUCAGGUGUAGACCGGCUGUGCCAAGGCUUCCCUUUUUGUCUGUGUGAGUGUUUAGAAGCCUAGAAUGUUUGCCUAAUUAAGUAAUCAGUUUUAAUGGACCAAAUCAGCAAAAUUAUUACUGCAUUUGAAACAAUUGCAGGCAUUUAUGUUUCAAACUUUCUAAUUUCUUCUAAGAACCUUGGUUUAAUAGAAAUGUUUGCUGUUUUACCUUUGAUCAAUAUAUUCUUGAGUACAAAUUUCAUAUGCUACUUUUAUAAAGUACCACAUUUAUUGUUGUCAAGCUAGUAAAUUUAAUUACCAGGAAUUUAAAUUGAUUUAUAAAUUUUUGAUUGGGGGAAAUUGUUCUGCAGACAUUUGCGGAAAUAUUGACUAUGUUACUGAUGGGCAAGACUUGAUUAAUCAGCAUAUCUGCUUUUCUUUAAAUCCUUGAUAAAUUAGAAUAAGUAAAUCACACAGAAAAUGAUGCAAUUUCCUCCCUCAAUUUAAAAAACUUAAUAUAAUUUUCUCUUUCUUUUGAGAUAAACAAAAGCUAAUGUUUUACUAAUCAAUUGAACUUGGAAAUUAUUUUUUUUGAACCACUUGAAAGCAAGUUCAAAUAAUAUUAACCUAUACACACAGAACAAUGAUACCUAAGUUGUCCUUUUUGUUUGUUUUAUUUUCUUUUUUAAUGGAAUUUUUUUUUAAGACUGCAAGCAAAUGUUCAGUUUAGCACCCAAUAUUUUUCCUGGUUUUAUCUUGUUACUUUUUCUUUUUUCUGAUCUUUUUUUAUUAUUAACUUUUCCAUUUAAUUCCUGGUAGAAAACUCAAGCAUAGCUGCUUUGAUAUGGUUAUUGAUUACUGAUUCUUUUGAUUUUUUUGGUGUUAUCAUUUAAAAGGCAAUUAUAUUUGAGAGAUGCUUACUUAAAAAAAAGCAGGUAAUAAAAAUAAGGAAUGGGCAAAAAUAUGUUGUAUUGGUAAGUUUGAAACAACUCAAAAGCAGGUGGGUGUACUGUUUCCUUACUCCAACACCACAGGUGCCUGUUUAGCUCUGUCUUAGGACAGCACAUCCUCUUGCAGCACCUGUUGACAAGACCAGUCUUUGCUGAGGCUGAGGAGGCAAAAAAGAUAGGUGAUCAGUAACCAUCAAAACAGAAGAUAUCAUAUGGCACUGUAUGUUAAUGGUAUUUACAUAUUUUAUGCAACAAAUCUGCUUGUUGUCUUGUUAUUUGAAUAUUGACACUUCGUUUAACAUUGCAUAUGGUGGGCUGUUGUUUCAGGGUAAAUCAGAAGCAGGAAAUCUAGAGGAGAAUUUCAAUUCAGAUGUAUUUAUGAUAAAUAUAUGUAUAAAUGGAUAUGUUUGCUCAUAUUUUAGCUACUGUGACUUUCACAAACCAUUUGUAGUAUCACUUCUUUCAAUCAUUUUUUAAACUGAUACAUCUUGAAAGUAGAAUGCAUGAUUUAUUAUAUGAAGGCCCAAGGUUAAACUUUUUUACCCUAUAACUCAGCUUAGGUAUUUGUAUUUUUGUGUUGGGAAAACUUUUUUAGGAAGAUUGGAAAAUUUGCUUCUUGUUAGAAUUUUGUUCUCAUUUUCAUCAAAUGAAUAGCUUUUAUUAAAAGUCAUUAGUGGUAUAUGAUUUACUAAUACAUAAUUUAAAAUAAAGUUUUUUUAUUUUUUGCCACAGAAUACAAAAUCUAUUUUUUCAAGAUUUUUUGUUGUUGUUGAUGCAUAAUACAGAUGUACACAGAAGUGGGCUUUUUGUUACAUAUUUACAAUAUUAACAUAAUUUGGUCAAUUUCCCUAAUACAAAAUUUAAAAUACCUACAAAAUAUUUUCCUCUCCUUAGAAUGUUAAUGUUGAAAAUACUUUACUUCUUUCUAAUGAAUUUUGAUUUCUGCUGAUAAUUUAUAUUUUUCUAUUCUAAUUGUGGAUAUAUUACUGGGAGAACAGAAACUACACUUUACUCCACCCAUCUUUGUUUUUCCCGACUCAACUGUUUGCCUUAUGUUAAUUGGUUGCUUUUUAAAUAACUGACAAUUAUAUGUCAUACACAUGAAUGUAAAUGCAUCUGAGAAUGAGUGACCUCUACUUUCAUGCAUUGGUUUGUGAGAAAAUGUUAUUCAUGGAAAUGAUAACAUCCAAAAUAAAAUUUAAAAAAUAAUGCAGUGUGAAGUCAUGAGUUUCUAUAUAAUGUAAUAUACUAUUUUUUUGUGAUUACUUUGACUUGUUUUUCUUCCCAUCAAUCAACACCGUCACCCUCAACUAGAACCAGCUACAUAAUUUCUGGGACCUAAUGCAAAAUUAAAACGUGAGGUAUCUUGUUCAAAAGUUACUAAAAAUUUCAAGACAGCUACGGCAGAGCAUUCAACCAGAUGAAGGGUCCUUCUGUGAGUGGAGCCUGUGUACCUGAAUGGAGCCAGACCUGUAUUCACCACCUGCCAACUUUUCUCUUGGGCCAUCUCUGGGGAAGGCACUGGGCUUCCUACCUGAAGACUGACUAUUCAUUCCACAGUUAUUCCAAGUGUCUUCACUUAAAGAGAUACUAAUGGGAGUUGUGUAAGAGAAUUGAUGGAAAAAAAUGGAUCUUUGGGUAUCUCUUCCCCCCUUUUUUUUUCCCAUGAGCUGGUACUUGAAUUAUUUGCUUUUAACCUAGGCUGCCCUUUGCCUCAUCUAUUUCUGAUAUAUCCCAUGAAUUUUUAAGUAAAUAUUUUUAAAAGGAACUUUGUUUUUAAUUGUUUGCAGACAGGUAGAUACUUAAGUACUUAUUCCCCAAGCUAAGAGUAAUCAUAGUAGAAUUAUUUCAGUGGAAUUUGUAAUCAGAGCCUGGGAGGUUCUCUUGCCAGGUACCAUAUCCACCUCCUCCCAAGGAUAGAAGCACAGGUGAAAUAAGUAUUUUUAAUAUAGAAUCUUAAAUUAUCUAAAUAUAUAGAAAAUUCUAACCAUUUACAAAACUAAAAGCACAAUUCAUUGAGUGACAGGAAAGAGGGGCAAACACAAAAAUAAUUACCUUGUUAUGAUAGUAUCAGUAUUGAUAUUUUGACAUUAGAAAGUGGCAUUAUAGCUAUAUAAACAUGUGGUGACAGCUGUGUUAAAGAUGAAAAGUAACUCUUUCAUGCAGUGACACAAACUUUGCAUCAUAUGGUAUUCAAGUUGUGAACUCAGUUUCUCAACUUAAUUGUAAUAACCUCCUUCUCCCUGAGCUAUAUUGACCAGGUAUGAAUCCUACUUCCCUUUGAUUUGCAUAAUCUGUGCAAUUUGGGGUACAAAACACCCUGUAGUUUCCCAAGGUACCUCUCAAGCAGAUCAAGAUUUAUAUUGCGAUACCUAAAGCUGAAUUUUGAAGUCAAGCAGCUUUUUCAAAUCCAAACUGAGAUAUGCUGGAAUGUCCAGAAAGUCUGGAUCUGAGUGCACUUGAAGUUGCACCAUUUAUUUUCAAAAGAGAGUUCUCACAUCAGAUGACUCUGCCAGGAAAGGAAAUAUCAAAGAGCUGGAGAAAAGUAUUCUUUUAUGUAUUCCAAGACUGGGGUGGAGGUGGGGGCUUUAAAGAUAUUUUUGAGGAAUAAAAAAAAAAUUGAACUUAUUUUGAAUGCCUUGUCAGACUUUGUGGUAAGAAAUACUAUAUAUGACACCUUCUCAGAAGAAAAACCUUUUCUUUGUCCUGUGUAAUAACAAGGCAUUGCUCUCUAAAUUGAUUUGCACUUUAAUGAAACAAAGUUGGAAAAUAACUAUUGUAACACUCCCAUUUAAUUAUAAAUUCACCCCACAAUUUAGGAAUUUUUUUUUUUUUUUGCAUUAAAGCCACUGCGAACUUAGAAAUAUUUUAAUAGGUAGUCCCAUUCCAAAUUUUAAAAUGUUCUGUGUUCUGUUUACAAAUUCUCUAGGACAAUUUCAAUUGAGGGUUUUUUUUUUUCCCUACCUUACGCCUAUCCUCUAGUAUAUUCUCAUAUUCAAUGUUCAACUUGAAAAAUAAUAAGCCUGGAAUCUGGGUAAAUAUGUGGCAAUAUGGUCCAUUAUUAUGGCAAAAAUAGAUGUUUUAUUUCUCCUGUAUUUGCUUCUCUUUUUCUAUUUCAAAUUGUAGCUAAGACUAAACACUUUCUCUUAGAUCAUAUACCUCAAUGAUGCUAAAUUGUAAAUCUUAAUUAGGUAUGAUUCACUGAUUUUAAUCUUACAAGAUAAUUAUUCUGAGUAGGAUAAAAAGGUUCCCAUAAUAUUGAAGGCAUUUUCAUUAUAAUCCCCAUUUUAAGAUCAAACAAAUACUAUUAAAUAAACAGAGUGCUAUUAGUCUUUUAUGUUUAAUAGUUAAUACUCUGAAUUUAAGUGUAUGGAUGAAGAAAGGAGGGUAUUUUUGAUAGAGCAGUCUUACUGUUUGCAAACUUUAAAUCCUUUUGAUAAAUUUCACUGCUAGGAAUGACAUGGAUCUAAGGACAUUUUAAAAAUAAAAGUUAUAGUUUUGAUUAUCUAAAUGGAAUAUGUUCUUGUGCAUGUGCAUAGAUACAUUUCUUUGUGAAGGUAUUGAUGUCAGGGAUGCUUUUGGUAUUUCUUUAUGAGUAAUUAGGUUAACAGGGUUAGUUAGAAAAUGUAUCCGUUCCUGGAAAAUGAAAAAUUACAUUCAAGCAGAGGUAAAAGAGUAAAACAUAUUCAUGACUUUAAGUACUUAAAAUAUAUUUUAUGACUCAUUUUUACAGAAUAAUACCCAAUAUGUAACUUGUUAAAAAUAAUAGCCAUUUUUUACUUUUUAAAACACAUCUGUAUUGAAACUGACUUUCUGUCCUUGACUCACAAAUCUGGAGCCAAUUUUAGGCCCAAGAUACAAAAUAUGUGGGUCAUAUCCCCCCUACCCCUACCAUAGUAUCCUUGGCCAGUGGUGUUAGUGCAUAGUUCUCUUUUGAAGAAGAGGUCUACAUUACUCAAAAGAUUAAGAAGCAUUAGAGGGGGGAUGCUGAUAUGGAAUUCUAAAUGACUGAAUCCUAGUCUGACAUGAGGGGAAUAUCACCAGCUUUUAAAAUUUCAUACACCUAUAUGGACAUUGCUAAUUUUGUUUUUUCUUGGGGGAGUGGAAUUCUAAGUGUAAUAUGAAUACAAAGAGUAUUUAUUCCCUAAUUUGGAAAAUAUGUUUUGGGUAUAACAACCAACUCAUUAUUGGUAUAAAUUUAAUCAUGUAUGUUAAAACAGUAGAGUCAUAGGUACAUCUAGUAUGAGCUAGUGUCUCUUUAGAAAAAAAUUGUAUACAUAAGCUGAAUCUCUUUUGUGUGUUUUUUUUUUAAAUAGGUGUAAAAUGUUUAUCAAUAAUAUUUAAACAAUUUAAGUAUUAGGAAAAAUCUAAUAUAGAAAGUUCUUUAUUAUUUUUGUCUUUAAUAAAUCCCUCAAUGAACAUAUUUAGUAUAACAAUGCUUGUUUUGUUUUGUGCUUUCUCCCUCGUUUUAUUCAGAUUUAGAGCAAAGUAAAAAGACCUCACAGGGAAAUCCAAGGAGCACAGUACAAUGUAUGCUUUAGAUUUGUUUAUAAUUAUUUUUAUAAUUAUGGGUAAAAAUCUGCAAUUUUGCCACAAUCUAAUAUGUCCUUGAAAUUUAUCCUGCCAAAAUGCCCCAUCACUAAACUGUCAUCUGGGAGGUGUUGCAGAUGUAUAAUUGUAAUGCAUAUGUGUACCUCAAUACAUAUUUUUAAAAAAUAUUAUCUGUAUUUUCUAAUAGCCAACUCUGCAGGAAUACUUGCUUAGGGGUAGGGGUAAAAAGUUUUUCUGCCUCUUUUUUUUCUAUUUGUGUACUCAACAAGAACCCUGCUGUCUCAGUCAGUCUCCCACUACUGGAUUGGGAUUCUAAUCUUACCACCUACCUGUGUACUGUUUUGAGUGACUGGGACUUUUUUUUUUUUUUUGUACUUAUCUGUAAGGCUGGUUAUUACUUGAUCAUCUGUAUAAUCAAAUUUCCCUUGAGCCACCAGCAUAUGAUAUUUAGACCACGAGAAGGUAGUAUGAAUUAAUUAAGAGGAUGUUAGAGUGUGUAGUGGAGGAGGGGAAAGGCAAGUAGCAUUUGUUGUCUUGGGCAAACUGCCCUUUCUCAUGAAAGGCAACUUGUAAGAAUAGGGGAAACAGUUAAAAGGAAAGAAAAUUAGGGAAAGUUGUUGAGGCAAGGCUAAGGACUUUUUUUCAUGGGGCUGUUGCUAAAAAUGAUAUUAGCAAUUUUACAAAUCAAAUCCUAAAGUAAUUAUGUGCAAAACUGAUCACUUAUUAGGAAUUAGUGACUAGUACACAUGAAAUAGGAUGCAGUAUUAUAAUCUGAACAAAUUAUGAUAUCCUUUUUAAAAAUGGCAGAUUCUAAAUCACAUUUUGAAUAAUGGGAUUUAUGAUCAUCUACAUGAAAGAACUAUUUAUUCCCUGCUUUACUCCCCAUAAUUUAAAUAGGUAUAAAAACACAUAUGCCUUUAAAGAUGAUUCAUAUUAUUUGGAGAAUCUUUUUUUCUUCCCCCAAUAUCCUCAGUUUGCUUAGACCAAUAGAAGAAAGUCCACUAAGGACUGAGAUGAACCUAUUUUAGAGCUUAUUUUGGAAAGAAAUGUAGUUAUUUCUAUAUAGGGGUUCAGAUUAUUGAAAUAGGUACAGGUAUUAUUUGAUUUUAUCCAAGCAAAAUUUGUUGUUGAUUUUUUUAAUUCUACCUUAAAAAAAGAAAACAAAAUCCAAACAAAUGAAGUAAAAUUCUUUUCCUUUAGCACUACCCUAGACCAGUUAAAUGGAGUUUGGAGGAAUGGCCUGUUUCUUCUCUGUUUUCCAGGUGAUUCUAAAGUAAAGUUAGGAUUGAGAAUCACUUCUCUGAACCAUGAGGUUUCAUGAGCUCCAGAACUUUUCUGUGUUUAAAAAACAUUUCUUUCUGGUUUGAAGUCAUUAAAAUGGGAUAUUCAGUCUGAAUUGAGCAUCCUGAUGACAUAUACUAGAGAUAGUACAACAGCUUCUCUAGAUUUCUCCUACAGUGGACAGCUAAGAGGGCCCCAGAAAGUUAUAAGUAGGAGGAAAAGUGUCAACAGAAGCCCCAAGGCUAUGGUAUUCUUACCCUGGCAAGUCACUCAGCCUCUUUGAACCACAGUUUUCUUUUUCUGAAAGGGGAGAUGAUUCAAUGACUAGUAAAAUUUCUUGCAGUUCUAUAUAACUAAUUCUUGCUUCGUCAUGGCCUAGUGAAUUUGAGUAACUUGGAGCCUUGCUAGUGGCCUAUGACUGACAAAAAAGUUUCUGUUUCUCUUAAAGAAGCUCAAGAAAUUGUUCUGGAGACAAUGAAAGAAGAUCAAGGACUUCGUUAAGUCCUUCAAAGGGGAUGGCAACUAUUCAUCAACUUUGCUUACUAAUUGGUUGCAAACAACAGUGUCAAUAAUUCUAAUAUCUGGAAAGUUGAUAAAUAUUAAUUAGAUGAUACUUUUCUUCAGUGAGAGAUUUAAAUAAAAGACUGAUAAUCAGAUUAAUUUAGGCAUCGGAAUUAUGGGCCUUAAAUACUAUCUAUCUAUCUAUCUAUCUAUAUCUAUCUAUCUACAUAGAUAGUAUAUAUAUAUAUAUAUAUAUAUAUAUAUAUAUUUUUUUUUUAAUAUAUAUGUAUAUAUAUUUAUAUAUAAAUUAGGGUGAAAAUUGGACCUCCACCAAAGUGAUUUUCUCUUUCCCUCUUUUCUCUACUUUACUUGGUCUUUUUACUCCUGGAAUGCCCUUCUUCAUCUGGUGAAAUCCUGCCAUUACUUUGGUAUCCAGGCCAACAGUUGGAUCAUCUGUAAAAGCCUCCAUGAGUCAAUAAUCAGGGUCAAUUUUCACAUCUACUUAAUAUUAUCUGAACAUUUUAAAAAUAUCUUUUUUUUGAUCAUUAUCUUUCUUUUAUAGUUAAUCAUGUUUCUCUUUUAGGAAAUUGUAAAUUCCUUGAGAACAGACACAUCAAAUCAUUCUUAUUUUAGAUCUCCUGAACCUGUAUAUAUCGUAUAAAGUCUAUAACAGGUGUUCAAUGAAUAUUUGGUAAAUGGAAUUGAUAAAAGCUAUGGAGACUGUCACUAUGUUAAAUUUACUUUAAAAAAUCAAAAGAUGCCUCUGAAAAUAUUUAAAGAACAAAGCUAUUAAAAUUGUGUAUUUCAUUUUAAAAAUUGAAAUCCCUAUAUUAUUAUGUAAUUACUAAAGACACAUUAUAACUCAGAAAAAUAGUUUUGUAAUUGUAUACCUGAAAAUAAGCCUAUAGUCAUUCUGAUUUUAUGUCUCUGGAUAGGAGGGCACUUAAGUUAUUUUAUUAAAGCAACUUUAUGAUGUUGUUUUUAAAUCCCACAAAACACAAAAUUCAAACCUACUUUGAUUAUGGGCUAUAACAAAUAGCAUCAAAUCACUGUUCUGAACAUAUUUAAUUUUUUCUCAUGUAUUUCUUCUCAAAAAACAAUUUGUGAGUAUAGAAUAAUGAGACUUACUGAUCAACUUCAUGCUAACAUUGGGUUGAUUGACAUUUGCUUAUUCAGCCUUUGGUUGAGCAUGGGAAAUCAGUAGCAACUUGAGUAUGUCUUUCUAUUUUGCCUUUUCUCUGAUAAAUUGGGAGUAAAUUUGUGCCUUAAAGGUACUAAAAGCAGAUUUUGUGGGAACCUGAUGAUACUUAUGGUGAUAAGGUAUGAGAUGCAAACUAGUUGAUAUACAUUUGAUUUGAUAACUUUCUGUGACUCUGCAGUUUGUGAAUGUCUUUGCUUAACAUUUUAAUUGGUACUUUUUUUGUUCUCUUUAGCAUCUGACACUAUUAAUUUAUUUUGUACUAAAUACUGGGCAGUAAACAAGUUAUCUGGAAUUACACCCAAUGACCUCUGUCUUCUUGUGGUUCAGUUGCUUUACCAGUUGGGUUUGUGGGCUUGGAGAAGGAUCAGUUUCUUUCUCAAAUCUGUCACUUAAUGUUACAACAAAUAAUGUUAUAAAUAUUUUCUAAGGGAAACUCCAUUUGACACAAAGUUGGAAUUAUAAUUAGUCAACACUAUUUUAUAAGGUUUCUAUUUCAUCUUUGUGUUUCUAAAGCAAGAAAAUGCAUCAGAGAAAAGCAUUUGUUUAUAUAUCUUCAUCAAAGAACCCAGAAACAAAACAAAACAACCCCCCCCCAAAAAAAAAAUACAAAAACUUUAUUGUCAUUCUUUGAAAAACAUAAUUUUACUAGGGAAACCCAUGAACUCAUAACCUUUAUUGAAAGCUCACUAGUCUCCUUCUAAUUUUGGGUCUUCAGAGCUGAAAAGUUUUAGAUGCUAUCUUACCACUUCAUGUUGAAAUGCAAGUUGAUCUUGUAUAGUCUGUGUGGAAGAAAGCAUCUGUAGUGCUGACUGCUGAAUCUGGCUUAUGACAAAAAUAUGUCAUUAAGUGAGUUACAGUGGGACACCUUUUGCUUAGUUAAUUACAUUCAAGACACUGCAUCUCAAGCAAAGAGCUUAGACAGUGAUGAGUACAUUGUAGGUAGAAUAAUAAAGACUACAAAACAAUGUUUAAAGUAGCAAAAGAAGUUUUGCAGUGUGACUACAACAAAGACCCAUGUGUUUAGUUUCUUUGUUAAAUCAGUUCCUCUGGUUUUCUGGCAACCAUUCCAUGAAAAACUAGUAAGUUAAAAUUGCUAAAAUACAAAUUCAAAUCCAUCAGAUUGAGAGUCAAGACCAGGAAUGCUAAAGCCUUCUUCUAAUGGUUGCUUGCCAACAACCAUACUAAAUCUAGGGAAUAUUUAAAAAGAUAAAGACUUAAUAUUGUACUUGAUUUGUAAUCAGGAACUUGUGGGUUUUUAAAUGAAGUGGAUAAAAUUAUCCAUGAAGUAUUUUCUUUGUACCUAAAAUGCCUUUUGUUUUUCACAGUGUAAUAUUGGAGGAUGCCUCUGAGAGGGUAGUGAUAUAAAUUGGUACCAUCAAAUAUGAUUAAAAGUCAGUGGUCCAUGGUUUAUUUUGUUGCAGGUUUUUUUUUUUUACCCCUCAUAUGCAUAGUUGACAGCUGUUAGUAUUUGAAAUUUUAGUUAGGAGUAGAAAAGACAAUUCUUGAAGAAUAUAAACUUUAUAUUUGUUAUAUUAAAAUCUAAAAUCAACAUUUUUUUUUUCAGGUGAAUACAACUGUGUGUGUGAGUGUGUGUGUGUGUGUGUGUAUGUGUUGAAACGUGAUGACACUGAGAGUACCUGUAUUCUGAAUUGGCCAGUUGGUAGUUCUAUACAGAUAUCAUCUAAGUGAACCAAUUUAAAUCCCUCUCCAGAUCCUUAUCUAAGUGGCACAACUCUGUCUGGCAGGUAACACCUAUUUGUCCCUUGAGGAUUAGAUUUGGUUGACAUUCAGUCAAAGUCCUAGUAAACAAGAUUUAUGUGAAAUUAAUUAAACUGAAAUUGAAACUGGAAUUACAAUUCACCCGAAAGUGGAUUGGAUAUAUUUGUCAUAAGUGCAUGAACACAGUGCUUUCUGUUGGAUACUUUUGUUUAGAAUAAAAACUAAUCACAAAUAAACCACUUAAAAUUUACUUUCCUAAUAUAACUGUUUUCUUUGAGUGAAUGACCACACCUCUGUUAGUACUCAGUCUUUGUUCAGGGUUUAGUUUAGUCAUGUAUGUGUCCUUGAAGAAAUGUAACAUCUUUCACAAGAUUUUGUACAAGUGAAAUCAGAUACCAGUUUUUAUUGCAGGACCAAGCCUACAAAUGUUUCUCUUUAAAGCCAUUUUUAAUAGAAACAGUAAAGUAUAAAUCAUUUAAGCAAUUACCUGGACAUUGUGGAAAUGGGGCUUGGCUUGUUCUCUAGCCCCAGAUGUUUCCAGAUUCCAGUAAUAACACAGUCCAGAUAUUUACAGCUUAAUUUUCUGUGCAUGUGCACUUGUCCACAAAUGGCUACUAUUUCCCAUUUUCUGUUGGACAACUGGGCUACUUAUAGGUACAGAAAGUGAUUUCAUUGUGGGUAAUGACAAACAUUAAUGGUUAUAAUAAGUUUCUUUUAGAAACUUUGAUCACUUUAAAAAUAAAGAGGUUAAAUUUUAGAGGAUUUUACACUAUGGAAUAAAAUAAAUUAUUCAAAUGGCCUUUUCCUUUAUGUAUGGGGAUGGACAUAACCUCUACCCAUUCCUCAAAAUUAUAUUUAAUCUUAAUAUACUCUCCAAUAAAAGUCAUUUUUUAAAAAAUGAAUCUCCUGGCACUGGUUGGGUUAUCAUGUAAGCUGCUAGUUUUCUUUGCAUCACUACCCCAGAGUUUUUCUUCUUUUUACUAGAAACUAAACAAAUGGAAAACAAUGAUUGGUAACCAUCUGCUGUGCAGAAAUUUCACAUACAGCAGUUAACUCUAUUUUAUAAAACAAGACCAAAUGAGUGAAUUAUACUGUUGCCAGUAAAUAGCAACAAGCCACUAGAGCGUUCCUUUGGACAAGUAGGAACAUAGGGAGCCAGCAUUUCAUUAUAGGAAGUCAGUUAGUUGGGCUAUGUACAGAUAUUUGUGUAUGCAUACGCACAGUGCAUGUGUUAAGAACCUGAUUAUUUCCUCCCUACCUACUCCUGUGUCUUAAUUUUCAGUACCCCCCCACCACAAAUCCCAAUAGAGUAAAUCAAGAGUACUGUAGAUAUAAAUAAAUCAAUUUAGUUACAUCGUUCUAAAUCUGUUUACUUAAAAAUUGAAGUUAAAAUCCAUAAAACCAUGCAGAAUAAAGAUUCAUAAAACUAUGUAGGCUUCAGAUCAGAAUCAUGGUUUUCUUAGCUGAGCAUGUUUUAAUGAUUAGCAACUAACCAAUGUAGCUUUAAAUCAUUGUCUUGUCUUAUCCUCUGCUUAAAAAAAAAUACCUUAACUGGAAAUCAGAUUGACUAAAUGUUGAAAAGAUAUUGACAGGAAAUGAUUACUCAUGAUGCUUUUGAAGUAUGCAUACUGUAUUGAGGGAAGAGUUAUUAUGGAAGAGACAAAAGUAAGUAGUUAGAAAGAAUUUAUUCAAAUAGACCAAGUAAUACCUAAUUUUAUAGUGAGCAGCAUAAAAUAUAAUCAGCCUCUCUAUCUAUAAUGUGUAUAUAUAUAUAUAUAUAUAUAUAUAUAUAUAUAUGUAUUUAAUAGAGCAGUAUAUGUACACUCAAAACAAAUGUAUUCUCUCUUUAACUUUCACUUCUUUGAUACUAGGAUUUUGCCAUACAGCAAGAAAAGUUGUUUAAAAUGGGCAGUAUAUUGAGUUCAAAGGACCCAUACAGUUCAUAAAUUCUCUGGUGUCUACUGGAUUUUUCAUCAGGGAGACUUCCAAUAAAAAUGAUCUAUUUUAGAAAUAAUAUUGUUUAGUAGGUUGAAAUGUGGUGUAAUAAAAUUAGACCUUCAGUCUUCUAAAGUUACUACUUAGAUGGCACCCUUGGGAUGGUAAAAUGGCUGUAUAAGCAGAUGAAUCAGACAGUUCCACUGAUGGGUACAUUUGUCAGUCUCUGUUACAGAUAUAAUAUAUUCUUAUAUCUGUAAUCCUGACACUGUUACAUCCAAAUGAAAUCAACAUGAGGUUGUCAUCUUUAAGCAAAUAUGUUAAGUGUUGUCUUUUGUGCUUUGGAUUUGAAAGAAAGGGGCCCAGGGGAGGCAGCAUCAUGCAAAUGGAACAAAUCCCAUUUCUUCUGAGCUGUGCUGUUUUUCCCCUCCAUGGCAGCUGGCUGUGUUAUCUUUGUGUGUUUCUCUGAGUGCUGACAAUUCUUUCAGUGAUCUAAGUUAGGGCACAUUAGAAAGUGGAAGCAGCUGUCUGUCGCUAUACUGAGAGACGUGUUUGCUCUACUGCAAAGAUGAAGGACCAUGAAUCCUUGACACACUCUCCCCUCCUCCCCCCUGUACUUUCCAACAUGAUCAACAUUCAGACGCACAGAUUGUCUGCUUGGACAGUUUUUUGUUCUGACUGACAGCAUCUGGCAUAGACAAAUUUAAAAAUACAUAGCAUGCCAUGCUUGGAAUUGGAACAUCCCUUCUUUAUUAAUCUUCUCAUUUAAACCAUUCAUUUACAUUUCAAGAAAGGUUACAGCUUGAUAUGGUUGAAACGUUGAUUUUUAAAUGAAUAACCUUCUAAUGAAAUGUCUUGAAUGAGUACCAAGCAGCUAGUCUUCAUUAAAAAUUACACCCGAUUAACAUGGCCUUGAAAGCCUGAGAGGAAAGGGAUUUCUUAUUGUUUUAAUCCACAAUGCAAUCCGGUGUUUACCUUUCUGGCACAAAGCGAACAGAAAUGAUGCCCGUACUCGCAACACUUCUGAUAUUGAACACAACUAUGAUAUCACCCUUAAGCCGACAAAACACUUGGCCUUGUUUAAUCAGCUUUCUUUCCCUCUGAAAACCCCCAGAGAUGUUGAAAAAAUUAUAAGCAUCACCCAAAUAUGCCUCUCUCAAAUCCUCUCUCUCCAUGCCCCACCCCUCCCCCAUCCCAAAAUACUAUGUCUCUGUGUCCAACUCAGGAAAAAAGAAGCUUAUAGGUUUUCAGAUGGAAGUGUAGACACAACACUUCAGAUGAAACACUCUCCCUGGCUCCAGGGUGGUGGUUGCAUACAUAUUUGUUUGCAUUACUUUAGUACUAAAACAUCACAGUGCAAAAAUUUCUAUCUCACUCACCCCUGCACACAUUCACAUUUCUUAUCCAUUCUAAAUUCUACAGCCAGCUUCAGCAACAUGCUUGUCUAGCAUUUAUGUAAAAAUAAUAGGAAUGUUGGCCCUCCCAGUCUGUCUGUAGACUUUGAGUCCUGGGCUGGAGUGAGUAGGAGAGGAGAAUCCUUUUACCAUAUGUUUCAGACUUUCCCACUGUAGAUUUCAGUAUAAUGUAACCCCUCAACUCCAAGUGUGGAGUUCUAAGGGGUAUAUGAAGGGAGGGGUGGGGCAGAAUUAUAAUUCUUUUUUAAAAAUACUAUUCUAGUGCUGGGUGGUAAACAGGUAAAAUAAGUGUGCUGAAUAACUUGGGAAAAUAAGCUUCAGAGAGCAGUUCAAUUAACAGUUGUAAGCAGAAAAGGUGAUGCAUUUUCUCAGUAUGUAUAAGAGGUCACUUGCUUUAGGAUAAAUUUUGACGAAUUGCAGAAAAAAUAGAUGCUGAAAUCAAAAUGAAAACAGAUUGCGGUUUUAUAUCAAAGGCACUUUUACCUUCUUCAAUGUAAGGGAAAAUGACACAUUUCCCCUGUGGAUUGUAUAUAUUACUUUUUAAAUUGUGCUAAUUUUAAAACUUUGAACAUAUUUCAUUUAAACAAAAUAAGUCUUGGAAAUUAACAUAAUCUUUGAAUCUGGAGUCAGAUCUCCACCUGCUCUUCGCCUCAGAUCCUGGCUCUGUAAAUGUAAGGUAGAUAAUGUUUGGUUGCUGUUUUUCUGUUUUCUUUUUCUUUUUUUCCCUUUCCUCCCCAAGAAAUUAGUGGCCAGAAAUCGAAACUGAGCAGAUCUAGUUCUAGUGUUUGAUUUCUAGUAAAUCUUAUAUAGUGAGCAUUUUAAAGAUAAAUUACUUCAUUUGUCAUUUUCCAUUGUGAUUUUUUUUUUUAAUGACCACUUUUUAAAGGUAGAGUCAAUGUGCAUCUGUAAGCCAACUGGGAAUGGGUUGCAAUACAAAAUUCCCUCGUGUAAAAAGCCAGGUUUAGCAGUAAUGCUUUUAAUCUGGACUUGUAGAGGAUUCAGGAGCAUCCAUAGAUCUGCUCCAGUAAUUACCAUACCCCAAGUGGCACUGGAAGAGACAUUUGCCUAAAAACUUGAUGUCUUCAUUACGCUGUUUACAUUUUAAUUAGAAACAUGAAAAUUACUGAUUCAUACAGACAACUAUAGUUUAAGUGGUUUCAUUCGCCAUCCAAUAAAUCAUAAAAAAAUCCCCACAGUUGGCAUAAAUAGUUUACUAGGAAUCAUUCAUGGGAAUAAUGUGUUGGCACUAUAAGCUGCUUAAAAUAUGUUUUUAUUUUACCAGAGGUAGAAUUUGCAUAUAAAUUAGAGAAUGGCAUUUUAAGUUGACAGUCAUUUAUGCAGAAUACCAUCCACAUGCAAAUACAUAUAUGGGUGUAUGUGCAGACUUUCUUUGACUUUAUAGGUUUUUGCGGUAUCGUGAGUAUAGAUAUAUACCCAAGCUAGCCUAUCAGUUUUAAAAAUGCAUGUCCUCUUUUUAAGUCCUUUCAGAAAUGCUGUGGUUGUUCUAAAUAUGCAUGACCACAAACACAUCUUUUAUCUGUUGGGCAACAUUCACUUGCAAGAAGGAAAAAUGUUUAUUUCUGGUGUGCAUAUGUCUUGGAAAGAACUAGUUGUUUCUUCUGCUCAUUUAUUCCCUCUUUCCUAUCUCUUCUAUUCUUCUCAACUUUUGCAUGUCCUGUCAGUGCUGCUGCCCUACAACCGCUCCCACUCAGAGCGGCUGGGCUGAAGCAGGGUGGCUGUCAGAGUCCAUUCCUGAGUCAGCAGCACAUCCAUUGCCUGCAUCUUGCGACAGUCAGUCAUCCAGUUUUCCCCUCCCCAGGGGACAGGCGUCCUCCUCAUCAGCGAGGAGGAAUGACCCCUCUGUCUGGCUUGCUUAAAAUCCCGAAUCUCCCCACAUUGGUGUGUGAGUUCAAAUCCCCCCUCCUAGAGGCAGGGCUGGGACUCCAGCUAAUGACUCUGAGAUGCAGAGGGUCAGCACACUGGUGAGCUGGAACACUGAGGCAUUGUGCGAGCCGAGUUGUACAUUUUUCCCAUAACUGCAGACUCCUCUCCGUCCCCUCCCCUCCCCAGUCCUUUAUUGAAGAUCAAUAUUAUGCAGAAAUGAACCAGGAAUAACCACAGACAUUAAAAGGCAUUUCCCUUUUUGUUAUCUUUGUUAGAAAGUUAUUGGCCAUGGCCAGAGGAGGCUCUGUUAUUAUUUUUUAUUUGUUUAUUGUUUUUUGGAUGAAUGGUAGCACCCAGUGACUGAGCACUUCCAUCACUGUAAAACUCAUACUUUAGGUCCACAUUUAUUUUGCAUUUUAGGCCUAUGGAUAGGCUACAUGUUAAAGUGAAUUUUAGAAAAUAUUAUGUAGGACCAUCUAUCCAUAAGUGUUCAACUUGAAAUGCUGUAGCAGUCAUUAUUUUCAACUUUUGAGUGUGAACAGGUUACACUGAAACUUGUGCCGCCUGGAUGGUGUGAUUUUUGCAGAUAAAUGGUUGUAAGAUUAAUUCUGAGAAGCUGCUUUAGAUGAUAAAUUUUGUGCCUCAUUUCCACAUCUUUGGGUUUGCCUUUUUAAAUAUCUAGAGAAUUGCCAAAGUUUGAAUGUACUAAUCAGUAUUUUGUAUUAUCCCCACUAUUUUAAAUUUUAAUAGAAAGUCACCAGGAUUGCUUUCAUGGUGAUGGAGGUAAUCAGACCAGGACUUUGAACUUUUUGUAGUUCUAUGCAUUUACUAGGCAGACUUCCUGCUCACAUCCAUUAGUGUAAUAGUGAAUUCAUGGGCAUAUGCUUACUGGUUUGCUUUGCAUUGCCUAUUUUGGGGGAUCAUGUGGGGGGCAGGCAGGACACUUAUUAGAUCUCUCUACCUCCUAGAUGUGAUUAGACACAAUAGUCGACAUCUGUAAGGACAGAAACAUGCUGCUUACUUGUACACACGGCAAAAUUCUGAUAGUCCUGUGCUGUCUGGUAAAUCCUGUCUGCUUUAUGCAGUGUGGCCCGAAACAGUUGUGUGGUGAGGGAAUGCUGGCUGCUGGCCAGCCAUUGACUAUGAAAUCCUGGGUACCUGAGAGCUUAUCAGUUCUUUUGCUUUGUAAAAGAAAAAAGUGAUGAAAAUGUUGGUAAACUGCCAUGAAGGUUUAAGGCUACUGGAACAAGGAGCCGUGUAAUCAGAUUGGAAAAUGGAGCUUGAGAUUCUCUGCAUGGAGAGCAGCCCUCUGUGGACCCUGUGAGCCGCUGUGCAAGUGCCCGAGCUGACCACUUUGUUAGCAAAUCAGCUUGUUUGCUGCAGCAGCAGGGUGGAAGAGACCAGAGCUUGUGAUGGUAUGUAACGGAGGGAGAGCUCUCUCGCAUGGCACAAUCUAAUCAGCUUGCAAUUAGCUCAGGCUCUACAGUCACCUUCUUAAUUUUCUUUUUCCCCCUUCUUUGUGUUAAUACCGUGCACUUUAAACAAUUAAAUAAGGGAAGUAAUCCUUCAAGCAAAUCAAAGCCAUCCUUUAAUUUUAUCACCCUGCUGAAAAAGUAUCAGGUGGUCCACUGGUCUUCAUCAGAUGCUGAAAAUUCUUCAGCUCACUGUAGCAUAGAGGGGCUUUAAUAAACUGAGUUUGAGGAUACUCUUACAAAUGUCUUAGCAAUGGGGGGAAAAUGGAACACCGUUUAAACUAGAAUUGAAGUUCAAAUUGAUGUGAGGGGGGAUAAGAAAUCCCUUUUGGUUUAUAUACAGUUGUAAAUACCUUUUGGUUUAUAUACAGUGAUGCAUCUAUUUUAUAUUUUUAAUAACCAGAGGCAGGCUGCGUGUGUGUGUGUGUGUGUGUGUAUAGACAGAGAUUAUGUGUAUAUAUCACAUUCCAUAUCCUUUAUGCUGCUGUUUAUUUAGGCAUUUCUAUGCAGCACCUUUCUGAAGGCUCUGAUGACAUGGCCACUUGUACUGAUAAUUCUACUACUUCACCUUUACUGAACUUGAUUCACUAAGGUUUAAAAGAACAAGGAUAUCAUUGCUGAUCAUGGGUGUUACUUGUUAAUCCUUUAAAAUAAAAUUCAGAUCCUUUGGGGGAGAGGUGAGAAGAGCAAAGUAUAGAUUUGCAAAAUCAGCGCAAUAGUUUUACAUUUUACUUAAUUCAAGGACAGUGACUUCUCUAAUACUACUUAAAGAAGACACUUAUUUACUGAAACUAAAUAAAUCUUUUAAGAGAUAUUGCUAAGCAACCUUCUCUCAUUUUUUUCUCUUUCAGAAAGCUUUUGCUAAAACAUUAUCCAUGUGCAUGUAUCUCUGACCAGUUAUAUAUAUUUUUUAUUAAGUGUUUUUCUGUCAUGAGGUGGAAAUCGGCAUUAUUGCACCAAUGUUUACUUUAGAAAGCAGCACAGAGAUCAUUAUUAGAAAUUGCUUUUAAUGGUUAUUAAAGAAAUAAUUAGAGCACUCUAAGCAUUUUUUCUCCAUAAUAGCCAAUUCCUUUCUGGAGGUUGUUUGUGUUAAUAAAAAUAAACGUAGGUAUAAUGUUAUUGAUAUUUUAUUGCAUAAAUAUCAUACUUGAAUUUUCUCCCUUGCAGAUUUUUUUCUGCCUUACAGAAUACUACUAAUAAACUGUCUUCUUUCUUUUUAUCUUAAAAAAAUCUUGCAAUGUAUAACUAAGCUUUUGGUAUCAGCAAUUUUUUUACUUAAUGAACAGUUCAGAAAGUUUAACUGUCCAAGUAUUAAUGCUGUAAGAGGAUAACAUGACUUCUUGUUUUCCUGUAUGUGUUUGAUUAUGUGCCUUACAUUUGUGUUUAGAGGCAUGAAUUCAGUUGGAUGGAGAAUGAGAGUAAUUAAUAUAAAGUACAUUUAAAAUUAGGUAAGCUUUUAAGUAAGCCUUAGGGUUUUGUUGGUGAUUCUGUAAUACAUCCUUUUUUGUGUGUUUUGAACUUUUUUAUUUUUAAUUAAAAAAUAAAUUAAAAGGAAACAUACAUCUCCUACACACAUCCUAUGCUGCAAAGAUUCACUUUAUAUUCUUCUAGAGGACAAACUCCAUUACAUAUGCACUUACUGUACGUUCGAUUGUAAAUCUUACAAUUUAAUGGUAAUUCAGUGAGCAGUUAUUGCUUCAGUGGCCUUUUUUCUUUCUUUUUUGUCCCAUCUCACUUGUGAAAUAGGGUUACCCUUUACAAGUGUCACAUCCAUAGAUUCAUCUUUUGUACUUUGUAGUUGUUCCUGGUGCAUCAUUCUUAAGUCAAAAAAAAGGCAAAGCAAUGGAAGACCAUGUGGUGAAUGGUGGGUGGGAGGUAUGUGUGUUUAUAUGCAUACAGGGGAGUGGGGGCUGUAGAAUAAGAGCUUUCUUGGUAAUGCCAGACAGACAGAUAAACAGGGACAGAAAGACUUACAGAACUCUAGCAACUAAACAAUCAAGAGCGUUAGCACCAGUCUAAUAGAGUAAUAUCUUUUUCUAAAUAUACGUUUUCUCUAAGCUCAUUCUCAAUCCUACAUUCAGUUUUUCCAUAACAGAUUCUAUUCUGUGCUUGAAUUCUUCGAAGUAGAAUUGGUAUCUGAUUGGUACAAGUCUCUUCACCUUGCUUACACUGUUAAUAUUCUUAUCCUUUUUGGACAGUGAAAUACUUUUUUUAUAGAAACAAUAUACACAUUCAUAAAGAAAUUAUAAAGGGAUUCUCCUUCUGAAGAUAAUGAGUUCUCUUCAGGAACUGCAGUUUACAUGGCUCACAAAUGAGCUCGAAGUGGGGGGAUUUAAAGUCCUGCUACAGCAUUUAAUUUCUUGAGGAAAGGAGUUCAGUUCAAGGUUAGCCUGUUAUUGUGGCACUGGCAACUACUUCUUGCGUCCCCGUUCUUCUGCCAGCAGUACUGCACAAAAGGCAGUCAUUUUUAUUUAAUACAUAGGGAGGUAUUAAUCACUGCAGUAUUUUCUUGCAAAAAUUUAUCUUAUCAUAUUCAUUGUUUCACUACCCAUGACAAUAAUAGGUGUUUAAUUACUCAAUAAGGACCGUUUAUAGAUUCCAUUUUUCCUGUAUGCUGGACAAAUGGUAUUGAUUUUGUACUUUGAUGCAACAUGAAACUGUAUUAAACACGAUUAGAAUUCCAAGGCUGGUAAAAUGUACAUUCGUUAUGGUAACAGGACUUGCUUUGAGAAGCUGCAAGCUUCUUCUAAUCCAGGCAAUGCCUUUGGAGUAAAAUGGUGAUAUGAUUUUACUACAGAUCUGUGGUUAAAGAUGAAUGCUUUUUUUCCUUCAUGGUGUGUGUGUGUGUGUGCGUGUGUGUGUGUGUGUAUCCAAAUGCAUGUAUGCAGAUUUUAGUUUUAGUGAAGCAUUAAAGAGUUUAUAUGGAAAGAUUAUAAACGGAUGGUUCUUUGGAGCCAGAAAAGCCAUUGCAUACAGGUGAAUGGGGAGUUGGUGUCAUCUUAUAAUUGUGUCUCUUUGGUUAAUGCUAUAGGUCUUUAUUUUACCAAUAUAUAAAUUGUUACCUGAAUGAGGGUGGGAACCAUUACAAGAUGAAAUAGCACCUUCAUCUCUUGCUGAAUUCUGGUUUCCCUUCUUUUAAAGUAAUGAAGAAGACUUCCAAAUACCAAUUGUGUCAUAAUUUAAAUAGUGGGUUUUGUUUAAAUGGGCACUAAAUAAAACCCUUUCAUUUAGCUGACAUUAUUAUGUCCCAGUUGCGCAGCAAAAAAUCUUGCACAGAGCAAAAGUCCAUCCUGUCUUCCAGCAGGGCAGUCUGCCUGCGUUUUGUUUCACCUUGAUUUUGCAAACACAUUUCCACCAGCAUUUAGCACAUCCAAAACCAUAAUUGGAGAGGACUCUCUUGUUGGUCAGUGCAUUAAUUGCCUAUGAUCUUCAGCUCUUUACAGAUUUAUUUCCUUUGGAGGAAGGUCAUCUAAUCUUGCCAAAUAAAAAGCAAAAUAAACCAAGGACAGACAAGCAGUUGCUUAAUCUUUAUAAUUUCACUAAAGGCUAGCUUGUAUCCUUGCUAAAUUUUACUUUGUGUUUCUUUGCAAGGAUCAUAGACCUCUGGGCUCAAUUUAUAGUUUUGGAGAGUUUUAUGGAUGACUACCCUUGUCCCUAAAAAAGGAAGGUGGCUCAUUGACAGGAUUGCUUUCUGCAUCAUGUAUUCUUUGCUGGGACACUAAUAAUCCUAUUGGAACAUUAAUUGAUCACUACUUUGGCUUAUAAUUUUUAAUAUUUGUGUGGAAGAUACAAAACUUCAGGAGAGAUUUUAUAAAGACCUGCCAUUUGCUUCAUGGCAUAGAUAUACCCAGUCCACUGUUUAUUGGUUUUAAUUGGAAAUUUCUUAUUCAGUGAAUAUUUGUCUUAUGGGCUGUUGUAUAUGGCAUAUGUAAACCUUAGCAAAGAAAUCAGAAAAUAAGGACAAAUAACAGUUUACAUCUAGCUAGUAUAUUUCUUUUCUCCUAGAGCUUUCAAGAGCAUGAGAGAAAAAUAAAUUGAUUGACCUGCCCAUUUUAAAACACCAUUCUAUUUUUUUCCUCAUAGAUACGAGAAGAAAAGCUAAGUUUGAUUCCGGAAAUAUGUUUUAUAUAUUUAUUUUGCUUUUCAGGGAUCAGGC